Molecule: ribosomal RNA, 404 nt
Filed under: Actinomycetes bacterium
Lineage: Bacteria; Bacillati; Actinomycetota; Actinomycetes
Description: Actinobacteria bacterium partial 16S ribosomal RNA
Rfam family: Bacterial small subunit ribosomal RNA
Source: RNAcentral
UGGGGAAUAUUGGACAAUGGGCGCAAGCCUGAUCCAGCCAUGCCGCGUGAGUGAUGAAGGCCCUAGGGUUGUAAAGCUCUUUCACCGGUGAAGAUAAUGACGGUAACCGGAGAAGAAGCCCCGGCUAACUUCGUGCCAGCAGCCGCGGUAAUACGAAGGGGGCUAGCGUUGUUCGGAUUUACUGGGCGUAAAGCGCUCGUAGGUGGACUUUUAAGUCAGGGGUGAAAUCCCGGGGCUCAACCCCGGAACUGCCUUUGAUACUGGAAGUCUUGAGUGUGGUAGAGGUGAGUGGAAUUCCGAGUGUAGAGGUGAAAUUCGUAGAUAUUCGGAGGAACACCAGUGGCGAAGGCGGCUCACUGGAGCAUUACUGACGCUGUGGUGCGAAAGCGUGGGGAGCAAACAGG